UCUUCUCUCCAGGUCUCCUCUCUUCUCUCCAUUUCUCUUCUCUCCAAGUUCCAUCUCUCCAGGUCUCUUCUCAUCUCUCCAGGUCUCUUCUCUUCUCUCCAGGUCUCUUCUCUUCUCUCCAGGUCUCUUCUCUUCUCUCCAGGUCUCCUCUCUUCUCUCCAGGUCUCCUCUCUUCUCUCCAUUUCUCUUCUCUCCAAGUUCCAUCUCUCCAGGUCUCUUCUCUUCUCUCCAGGUCUCCUCUCUUCUCUCCAGGUCUCUUCUCUUCUCUCCAGGUCUCCUCUCUUCUCUCCACGUCUCCUCUCUUCUCUCCAGGUCUCUUCUCAUCUCUCCAGGUCUCUUCUCUUCAGGUCUCUUCUCUUCUCUCCAGGUCUCUUCUCUUCUCUCCAGGUCUCCUCUCUUCUCUCCAGGUCUCCUCUCUUCUCUCCAUUUCUCUUCUCUCCAAGUUCCAUCUCUCCAGGUCUCUUCUCAUCUCUCCAGGUCUCUUCUCUGCUCUCCAGGUCUCCUCUCUUCUCUCCAGGUCUCCUCUCUUCUCUCCAGGUCUCUUCUCUUCUCUCCAGGUCUCCUCUCUUCUCUCCACGUCUCCUCUCUUCUCUCCAGGUCUCUUCUCAUCUCUCCAGGUCUCUUCUCUUCAGGUCUCUUCUCUCCAGGUCUCUUCUCUUCUCUCCAGGUCUCCUCUCUUCUCUCCAGGUCUCCUCUCUUCUCUCCAGGUCUCUUCUCUUCUCUCCAGGUCUCCUCUCUUCUCUCCAGGUCUCUUCUCUUCUCUCCAGGUCUCCUCUCUUC
This is a long non-coding RNA of Oncorhynchus keta (chum salmon), 780 nucleotides long. RefSeq lists it as uncharacterized. The record is from RefSeq and is a predicted model, not a curated record. The transcript has 4 exons. Lineage: Eukaryota; Metazoa; Chordata; Actinopteri; Salmoniformes; Salmonidae.